This 63-nucleotide transfer RNA is filed under the name Stenurella nigra. RNAcentral describes it as "tRNA-Pro". The record is from RNAcentral. Lineage: Eukaryota; Metazoa; Arthropoda; Insecta; Coleoptera; Cerambycidae.
CAGAGAAUAGUUUAUUAAAAUUUUAAUUUUGGAGAUUAAAGAUAAGGAUUUCCUUUUCUCUGA